RNAcentral lists this ribosomal RNA (229 nucleotides) under uncultured bacterium. Its description in RNAcentral is "partial 16S ribosomal RNA". It matches the Rfam family "Bacterial small subunit ribosomal RNA", at positions 568 to 796 of the family's 1533-position model. The record is from RNAcentral.
UGCGCAGGCGGAACUUUAAGUCAGUGGUGAAAUCUUGCCGCUUAACGGUAAAAUUGCCAUUGAUACUGAAGUUCUUGAAUAUGGUUGAGGUAGGCGGAAUGUGUUGUGUAGCGGUGAAAUGCAUAGAUAUGACACAGAACUCCGAUUGCGAAGGCAGCUUACUAAAUCAUUAUUGACGCUGAGGCACGAAAGCGUGGGGAGCGAACAGGAUUAGAUACCCUGGUAGUCC